GACAAAUGGCGCUGUAGAGGAGGGGUUCCAACUUUUCGUUUCUCUAACACUAACGUUUAGGUUUUCACUGUUCUUCGUCUGCGAUAGUGUAAGAAUCUUUCAUUUAUUCAAUUCUUGAUUUGAUUAUCAGUGUUGUUUUAAAGAUUGAAUCAAGAAAACUGAAAUACUCACCAAAUUUCAACCUUAAAAACAGCGUAUGUUCACAAGUUCUCAAUUUGAUUGUUAGGAUGAUAUUAAGUAAACAAUUAGUGUAAUGAGGAAAAUCACUUGGCGAUAGUUGGGAAAUUAUGUUAUUAAUGGUCUUUUGUGAGAACUUCUUGUUAAUUCAAUUCUUGAUUGGAGUUAGAGAGUUAUUACAUUUUCAGUGUUAUUUUAGGUUAUUACAGCACUGAAACAAGAAAACUGAAACCCUUUCUGACCUUAGAUUGUCAAUUCUUGAUUGAAAUUAGAUAAUUAUUAGAUUAUCACUAGACUUUCCAACCUUGAAAUUUUAUUGUUAAUUCAAUUCUUGAUUGAAGUUGGAGAAUUAUAAGAUUAGCAGUUCACUUUCCAACCUUAAAUUUUUUCUUGUUAAUUCGAUUAUUGAUUGAAGAUAGUGAAUUAUUAGCUUUGUAGUGUUAUUUUAAAAAUUGCAGCAUUGAAUCUAGAAAACUGAAAUACUUUCCAACCUCAAAAAUAGUCAAUGUAGUUGAAGCGGGUUCCUAUUCCUUUGCCCAGAAGUUCUCAAUUUGUUUGAUUGUAUUUACAUGAUCAGAUAGAUGAUAUUCAGAACAAAUGUUGUCGGAAAAGGUAAACUUCUUGGGAAACUAUGUAAAUAUUGGGAGAACUUCUUUGUUUCAAUUCUUGAUUAAAAAAAAAACAAGAAGAAAAUUCAAUUCUUGAUUAUCAGUGUUAUUAUUAAGUGAUUGCUGCAUUGGAUCAGGAAAACUGAAACACUUUCUGACCAUGAAAUUGUUCUUGUUAUUCAUUUCGUGAUUGAAGUUAGAGGUACACUUUCCAACCUUAAAAAUUAGUUUUGUGUUUGUAAGUCCCCCAAAAUAGUUUGUUUAAUUGUAUGUCAAUCUGGAGACUCUGACUUUUGUGUGUAUGUGCACUCUUUGAUCUUUGCUGCAUCGUCUUGAAACAACUAUUGUCACAGUAUGGAUCCAGACCAAGUUGUUGCUGGAUUGGUUGGAAUGGGAUUUUCGUUAUCUGAUAUUGCUAAUGCUCUAGAAGAUGUGGGUCCAUCAAUUGCUAGUGUGAUUGAUUAUCUACUCGAUGAUUCUCGAAGAAAAACUGCAAGCGCAUCAACUAGUACUGCAUGUUUCACCCGUCGUGCUGGUAUGAGUGUGAUGUUUUGCAAGAUAUUGAUGAUUUGGAUGGUAAAACUCUUCUUUGGGUUAACGGAUCGUUUAUACAGAGUACAAUUCCAAUUUAAGAGAAAAUUUGAUUUACCCAUAUUCCAUAACACUAAAGAUUACAUGACCUAUAACUCGACCUGUUACCAAAGUCCGAAAGCCACAGCAAAGACCUUGAAAAUUAUUUUGCGUAAACAUAGAGAAUUUUAAAAUCUUAAUAGUAGUUACCAUAGUGUGGAUUGAACCAAUUCCUUUUGUUUUGUUGUAGCUGCAGCAGUACUUUCGUCCACAUUCUGAAGUGUUUAAGUUUUAGUUUUCUCACUUGCAACAACCCUGGGCAAAUCUAUCUUCACAUCAGUGCAAGAUUGUUUAGUAUGAGAUUCCAAGAGGAUAUACCUUAGCUUGAGAUAGAUAUGGCUUAUCCCUGGCAGUUGAUGGAGGAAAAAACCUUGAAUUAUCUUAUUGUACGACACAAAUCUCUUAGUUCAUGAUCAAAAAAAUACAUUCGAUGAAAGUAUAUCAUCCUACUCUUUCUUGCAUUCUCAAACUUGACCUUUUUGUGUGACAGAUGGUCUGUUCAUUUCUUAGAAUCGAAUAAGGGAGAUUUUUUUUGUGGGUUUUCCUUAUCCUCUAACUGCUCAUCCUACUCUUUCUUGCAUUCUCAAACUUGACCUUUUUGUGUGACAGAUUAGUCUCUUCAUUUCUUAAAACCAAAUAAGGGAGAUGCUUUUGUGGGUUUUCCUUGUCCUCUACCGGCAAUGUUGCAGCUUAUGUAAAGACUUUAUCUUCUCGUCAAAGUUUCUCUGGGUAAAUUUUGUGGAGAACUACUUCUGAAAGGUUGCACAAAGCUCCUGAUCUGGCCAAUGAUUCAGAAGAAAGAGCUAAGCUUCUAAAUUUCUUUCUAAAUUUGGGAUCAAGGCAUGCUGCUUAAAAUGCUAAGGAGCAUGUCUUUAGGAUGCAAAAUACCAUGUUGUGAAAGUGGACUAAUGGUGAUCAUAAGCAUGCUGUUCAAUUGGUUUUCUUUCAUGUAAUUUAGGUAUAACUUGUCUUUGUGAUGUUAUGUGGUAGAUGUUUGCUAGAUUAGAAUCAAGAUCUAAAUAUAUCACUGCCCAAGCCUAUGGACAUAUUGUCCACUGUUGUGCAACAGACCUUACAUAUUGGUCUCUUAUGCUACACCACCAUCGAAUCCAAAAACACGUGUACCAUCCAAAGUUAUGCUAUAUUUUAUGUAACGUUCACUCUUUUCUCCCUUUUUGAUGUGAGAUUUGCCUUAAGUGUCAGAUGUACCCCUUAUUCAGAAGCUUGCCAAUCUAAAAACUUUCCCGUCCUCGUUAACUAAAAACUUUGACUCAUCCUCAUGAACUCACCCACCGUCGUGAGUGUCACGUGAGGUUGCCUCCUUACAACUUAGCUUCCUUGCUAAGAUAUUCCCCAUCAUCUUACUGUGGGAACUUGGCUUUUAUGUCAUAGUUGGUGUAACAUGAGCCCGUGUCACAUAUCGUGUGCUUUGGCUCAACAAAACUCACAGAUUUGUCUCUUGGAGAACACUUUCAUCAAUGCCCAAAAGUGCUCAUACCAUGUGAACUUGUGCUAUGUUGUUAUAUAUCACUUCACUCAUUUUUUGAGCUUUUCGACGUGAGAUUAUCCUAUGGUGUAAUAUGUAACCCUCUGUCAGCAGCUUGGCAACAUAGAAGCUUUCCAACUCUUUUUCUUUAACCUGCCCGCAUCAACCCACUCUCCGUCCUGGGCAUUACAAAAAAUGAUGUUGUUUAUGAAUGAAGUUGCUUGAUAUACUCUUCCUUGUCAAUUGAGCAGUAUCAUGUGCUCUUUCUCUUUUCAGUUGCCAAAGUCACAUCUGAGGCAGGUGCAAGGAAUUUCACGAGACCACUUUGGCGGUAAAGCUAGGUGAUGUGUUAGAUGGAGUAAUAUUAACAAACUUCUUGUAUCUUAUUCAACAAGAUAAUCCAUGUCUGUUGGUCUUUGAUCCUUUGCAUUUAAUAUUUUAGAAUGAUAUGUGCAUAUUCCCUCGUGUUCUUGAAAAGGAAAUUCAUUGUUGAACUUAUUGUUCUCAUUUUUGUGUGAAUCAAGUUGGAUCGAUUAUGUCCUGAUCUCAUAUGCUUUAUAGGUUAUUUAUCAGAACUUGGUCCAAUUGAGGGUUGAUAUGCUGAACCCUUCUAGUUUGACAUUGAGGCAUAGUACUAGUAGUAUUUGUUUUAUUGGUUUAAUUAGUUCGGUUUUGUCCAAUCUCCGUACUCUCUGAUGCUAUUUACUAAUAGAUGAUUAUAAUAUGAGAGGGUUUGUUCAUUUAGAAUAUAUUGUGGUAUGCGAAUCGAGGUUUUGACUUUUAUUAUUUAAUUCCUGCUUGUGAACGAAAAUUUUAAAAAUAGUUUCAAAGUAAACUUCACUUCUAAAAAAAAUUGCAUUGUUUUCUGAAUCGCCCUAUUACAUUGAUAGAUGCCACAAAGAAGUCUGCAACAAGGAAUGGUGGUCCUAUUAGUCCUGUUUCACGUGUCAUGAGUUGUUCAACAAUAUGGAAUGAACACUUCUUGCUGUAGAGCCAAGACACUUGUGGAGUACUUUGGCGAACACUUCUUUAUGGAGAAAUGUCUUGUGUAUGUCAAGAAACACUAGCUAUUGUGCUUUCUCUUUUGUUCCUUACAAGCUGCUUCAUGUCAAGGAAGUGUGCUUGUUCUUUUCUGUUAAUUUUCUUCCACUUUCCUUCUCGGAGUGGGUGUGGAGGCAAGGAAUGUCCACAGCACUGUAAAUGUUGUUUCUAAUAUCUGAUUCCUCUUGAGUUAGUCCCUAAAUUGAGGUUUCAGGUACUCGUUUUAUCACAGGACAUGCCACGUAAAAGAUAUAUUCAUUUGUAGCCGUUUGAAGUAAAAAGUUACUUCCUAUGCAAUGUGCCAAAUGCAUCCCAUUGCUAAUAUCUUUUUCAUUCAUGCUUACUGAUGUUUGCUUUAAUUUUUUGAGUAUAGUUAAUUUUUGCUCAGGAAAAUACAUGUUUAUCACAGGUUUUUCUUGCAAUGAGUUCGCUUUCUUAGUUUAUGGUAUUUACCUGUGACAUAAUGCACAGGUGUGAUAUAUGCAUCAAAGGUCAACCUGAAAGACAGAAUUUAAAGGCUGAGGCAAUGAUCUUCUUGCAAGUUGUGUGAAGAAAUUUUGCAGACAUCUCCUAUGGUGGUUAUGAAGGGAGACUUGGCGAGUAGCCUAACAUCAAGGCUUUAGUCAGCAGAAUAAUGGAACAUAUUGGCAAAAGAAGGUCAAGACUUUGUUACAGAAACACUUUGCAUUUUCAUUGUUGAAGGAUUUUCAGAAAGAUGCUCUGGAAUCUUGGUUAUCUCACCAAGACUGACUUGUUCUUGCAGCAACAGGAUCAGGGAAAUCUUUGUUUUUUCAGAUUCUGGCAUUGCUGACUGGCAAGGUUGUCAUAGUUAUGUCACAGUUGAUUAGCUUGAUGCAGAAUCAGUGUUUGAGGUUAGCAAAACAUGUUGUUUCGGCUUGCUUCCUUGGCUCUGGUCAAACUGUUUGAAGUGUGGAACAAAAAACGAUGGCAGGCAUGUAUAGCAUCAUUUAUGUAUGCCCUGAGACAAUUCUAAGACUCAUAAAACCCACCCAAAGCCCUGCAGAGAGUCGUGGAAUUGCUCUAUUUGCAGUCGAUGAAGUUCACUGUGCUUCUAAGUGGGGCCAUUAUUUUCGACCAGAUUACAGGCGAUAAUCUGUUUUGAAAGAGAACUUUAGAAUGGACACCAUGAAGUUUCUGAAGUUUGACAUUCCGAUCAUGGCACUGGCUGCUACUGCCACUACUCGUGUUUGAGAAGACAUUAUGCAGUCAUUGCACAUGUCAGAGGCGACAAGAAUUGUUCUCACUUCGUUUUUCCGGCCAAAUCUCCAAUUUUUAAUUGUCUCUUCAUUUCUUUAAACCGAGUAAGGGAAAUGUUUUUUGUGGGUUCUCCUUAUCCUCUUACCGGCAAUGUUGCAGCUUAUGUAAAGACUUCAUCUUCUCGUCCAAGUUUCUCGUGGUGAAUUUAGUGGAAAACUACAACUGAAAGGUUAUAGUGAUUUUCUGUUGCACAAAACUCCUGAUCUGGCCAAUGAUCCAGAAGAAAGAGCAAAGCUUCGACACAAACCGUUGCAGGACUGACCAACAAUAAUAUAUGCCCCGACUAGGAAAGAAAUAUUAAAUAUACCAAAAUUUCUUUCUAAAUUUGGAAUCAAGGCUAGUGCUUACAAUGCCAAGGUAAUAGAUCUCCCUCUGAUUUUAUUGAUGUUGAGUUUAUUUCGCCACCAAAUUAUAAUUGUUUGAAGGAGUUUAGAUAAUUUUGCAUGGUCGCAUGAUGUAGGAGCAUGUCUUAAGGAUGCAAACCAUAGUUGUGAAAGUGGACUAAAGGUGAUCAUAAGCAUGUUGUUCAAUUUGUUUGUUUUUAUGUAAUUUAGGUAUAACUUGUCUCUAUGAUAUUAUGUGUGGUAGAUGUCUGCUAGAUUAGAGUCAAGGUCUAAAAAUUUCACUGCCGAAGCCUUUGGACUUAUUGUCCACUUUUGUGCAACAGACCUCACGUAUUGGUCUUUUAUACUACACUGCCAUUGAAUCCAAAAAACGCAUAUUAUCCAACUUAUGCCAUGUCUUAUGUAACACUUCACUCUUUUCUCUCUUUUUGAUGUGAGAUUUGCAUUAAGUGUCAUAUGUACGUACCCCUUAUUCAGAAGCUUGCCAAUCCUCGUUAACUAAAAACUUUCACUUUUUCUUGUUAACUUACCCUCCGUCGUUAGUGUCACGUGAGGGUACCUCCUUACAACUUAGUGUCCUUGCUAAGUUUUCCCCAUCAUCAUACUUCGGGAACUUGAUUCUGAUGUCAUAGUUGGUAUAACAUAAGCUGUGGCACAUGUUGUGUGCUUUGGCUUAACAGAACUCACAGAUUUGUCUCUUGGACAACUCUCCACUCAUUUUUUUAGCUUUUCAACGUGAGAUUUUCCUAGGUGUCAUAUGUAACCCUCUAUGAGCAGCUUGGCAACAUAGAAGCCUGCCUUCUCUUUCUCUUUGACCCACCCGCAUCAACCCCCACCCUCUGUCCUGGGCAUUACAAAAAAUGAUGCUGUUUAGGAAUGAAGUUGUUUGAUAUACUCUUCCUUGUCAGUUGAGCAGUAUUGUUUGCUCUCUCUUUUCAGUUGCCAAAAUCACAUCUGAGGCAGGUGCAUAAGGAAUUUCACGACAACACUCUGCAGGUAAAGCUAGUGAUGUGUUAGAUGGAGUAAUAUUUACAAACAUUUUGUAUCUUAUUUAACAAGUUAAUCCAUGUCUGUAGGUCUUUUAUCCUUCACAUUCAAUAUUUUAGAGUGUUAUGUGCAUAUUCCCCCAUGUUCAUGAAAAGGAAAUUCAUCACUGAACUUAUUGUCCUCAUUUUUGUGUGAAUCAAGUUGGAUCAAUCUCUCUGUCUUGAUCUCAUAUGCUUUAUAGGUUAUUUAUCUGAACUUGGUCCAAUUGAGGGUUGAUAUGCUGAGCCCUUCUAGUUUGACAUUGAGGCAUAGUACUAGUAGUAUUUGUUCUAUUGGUUCAAUUAGUUCGGUGUUGUCCAAUCUCUGUACUCUCUGAUACUAUUUACUAAUAGAUGAUUCUAAUAUAAGAGGGUUUGUUCAUUUAGAAUAUAUUGUAGUAUGCGAAUCUAGGUUUUGACUCUAGUCAUUUAAUUGCUGCCUCAAUUCUUAUGAAAGAAACUUCUAAAAAUAAUUUUAUAGUUAACUUCACUUUUGAAAAAAAAUUACAUUGUUUUCUGAAUUGCCCACUUACGUUGUCAUUACAUGUUAUUGAUAAGAUGCCACAAAUAAGUCUGCAACAUGGAAUGGUGGUCCUAUGGUUCUUUUUCACGAAUCACGAGUGGUUCAGCAAUAUGGAAUGAACACUUCUUGCUGUAGAGCCAAGACAGUUGUGGAGUACUUUGGCAAGCACUUCCUUUUGGAGAAAUUUCUCGUGUAUGGAAUGAGCAAUAUUGUGCUUUCUCUUUUGCUCCUUACAAGCUGCUUAAUGUCAUGGAAGUGUGCUUGUGCUUUUCUGUUAAUUUUCUUCCUUUGGAGGUGGGUGUGGAGGCAAAGAAUUUUUUUUUAAAAUUUAUGCUUACUGAUGUUUGCCUUUAUCUUUCGAGUAUAGUUAAUUUUGCAGACAUCUCCUAUGGUGGUUAUGAAGGGAGACUCGGCGAGUGGCCAAACAUUAAGGCUUUAGUCAGCAGAAUAAUGGAACAGAUACCCUCUCUUUAGUAUGGUGUAUGUAGUACCUUGCCUUGAGAGGGAAGCUCUUAAGGUCUAUUUUGGAUAUGGAAAUCAAUGACUUGGUAAAGAAACACUUCUCACUUCAUAUGUUGUGUUUGCCUUUCCCCUAAAUUCUUAGUAGUGGCACCAUUAACAACAAUAA
Non-coding RNA from Solanum lycopersicum (tomato), 7740 nucleotides. Lineage: Eukaryota; Viridiplantae; Streptophyta; Magnoliopsida; Solanales; Solanaceae. The record is from RefSeq and is a predicted model, not a curated record.